This 370-nucleotide ribosomal RNA is filed under the name uncultured organism. RNAcentral describes it as "partial 16S ribosomal RNA". It matches the Rfam family "Bacterial small subunit ribosomal RNA", at positions 527 to 896 of the family's 1533-position model. The record is from RNAcentral.
GGAGGGUGCGAGCGUUAAUCGGAAUUACUGGGCGUAAAGGGCGUGUAGGUGGAUAGAAAAGUUGGAUGUAAAAGUCCCGGGCUCAACCUGGGAAGGUCAUUCGAAACUGUUUAUCUAGAGUACAGUAGAGGGAAGUGGAAUUUCCGGAGUAGCGGUGAAAUGCGUAGAUAUCGGAAGGAACACCAGAGGCGAAGGCGACUUUCUGGACUGUAACUGACACUGAGGCGCGAAAGCGUGGGUAGCGAACAGGAUUAGAUACCCGUGGGUAGUCCACGCCGUAAACGAUGAAACUAGCCGUUGGUACCGCGAGGUAUGAGUGGCGCAGCUAACGCGAUAAGUUUUCCGCCUGGGGAGUACGGCCGCAAGGCUA